AGCGAACGCUGGCGGCAGGCUUAACACAUGCAAGUCGAGCGGGCACUUUCGGGUGUCAGCGGCAGACGGGUGAGUAACGCGUGGGAACGUGCCCUCUGGUUCGGAAUAACUCAGGGAAACUUGAGCUAAUACCGGAUACGCCCUUUUGGGGAAAGGCUUGCUGCCGGAGGAUCGGCCCGCGUCUGAUUAGCUAGUUGGUGAGGUAACGGCUCACCAAGGCGACGAUCAGUAGCUGGUCUGAGAGGAUGAUCAGCCACACUGGGACUGAGACACGGCCCAGACUCCUACGGGAGGCAGCAGUGGGGAAUAUUGGACAAUGGGCGCAAGCCUGAUCCGGCCAUGCCGCGUGAGUGAUGAAGGUCUUAGGGUUGUAAAGCUCUUUUAUCCGGGACGAUAAUGACGGUACCGGAGGAAUAAGCCCCGGCUAACUUCGUG
This 435-nucleotide ribosomal RNA is filed under the name uncultured bacterium. RNAcentral's name for it is "partial 16S ribosomal RNA". It matches the Rfam family "Bacterial small subunit ribosomal RNA", at positions 29 to 507 of the family's 1533-position model. The record is from RNAcentral.